UACGAAGGGGGCUAGCGUUGCUCGGAAUCACUGGGCGUAAAGGGCGCGUAGGCGGCUAUUCAAGUCAGGGGUGAAAGCUUGAGGCUCAACCUCAGAAUUGCCUUUGAUACUGUUUAGCUAGAGACCGGAAGAGGUAAGUGGAACUGCGAGUGUAGAGGUGAAAUUCGUAGAUAUUCGCAAGAACACCAGUGGCGAAGGCGGCUUACUGGUCCGGUUCUGACGCUGAGGCGCGAAAGCGUGGGGAGCAAACAGG
RNAcentral lists this ribosomal RNA (253 nucleotides) under uncultured bacterium. RNAcentral's name for it is "partial 16S ribosomal RNA". It matches the Rfam family "Bacterial small subunit ribosomal RNA", at positions 524 to 776 of the family's 1533-position model. The record is from RNAcentral.